Long non-coding RNA from Cynara cardunculus var. scolymus (artichoke), 490 nucleotides. RefSeq lists it as uncharacterized. The record is from RefSeq and is a predicted model, not a curated record. NCBI's taxonomy places the organism in Eukaryota, Viridiplantae, Streptophyta, Magnoliopsida, Asterales, Asteraceae. The transcript is spliced from 2 exons.
CAAACACAUUUUCUGCAAAGAAGGAAUAUAUUUUCUGAUAGAUAUCGAGAAAUGACGAUCAAUAUCAACUGGUUUGCACUUUUUCUUGCCAUAAUGCUCAUCAUAGGAACCAUUGAUGGCGGUCCACAUCUUCCCCGAAAAGCAAGCACCCGGGCAACCAAAGAUGUUGCCGUUGAAAGAAAAUUUUCUACAAACAGUUUCAACAAUGAUGCAGGAAUAGAUACUCAUCACAAGUAUUCUUAUACAAACCGUCCCGUGGUUAAAAACUAGUUGUGUCAUGCAACUAGUACCGUGCUCCAUCAUCUAUAUAGUUACAGAAAACAUGGAGAAAUAAGGGAUAUCGUUGGGUUUGAAUAAUGUUGGUCGAGUCUAGCCAAGUUGACUCACUGCGCCAUGUUACCAUAUAAGUGGACGAAUAUGUAUGAUUGUAUAAUAUUUGUGUGUAUAUAAACGUGGUUUGUUAAAUGAUAUGAAGUGUGGCGUGUUUUCU